Molecule: RNA transcript, 7126 nt
Organism: Mustela lutreola (European mink)
Lineage: Eukaryota; Metazoa; Chordata; Mammalia; Carnivora; Mustelidae
Gene name: membrane cofactor protein-like
Exons: 15
Source: RefSeq, a predicted model, not a curated record
CGCGCAAACGGCGCUGAGGCCACGCCCCGCGGCUGGCACCUGACACCGGGCAGCCGGGGAUUGUUGCGUCUGCUCCCCGACCUGGGAGAGUGUCGCUUGGCGGACUCUCAGCUUCCCGCGGGUCUCCGGGAAGAUGGUGGUGUCCUGCGCGCGGCGCGCAGCCCAUCCCUGCUGUCUGCAGAAGCGCUUUUCCUUUUUAUGUUGCUUUAAGAUCUCUUUGAUGGCCGCAGUGCUCCUGAUACCCAAGCCCUCUGCCAAUGCUUCAGCGACCAUUCCUGUGACGUUGUUGAACGUGGCGGCUGUCUGUACCGAGGUUGUCAACGCUACCACGGCAGCAGUAGCAGCGGCGGCGGAUGCUGCGAUAGCUGCAAUAAUGGCUGCUGUUAUUCCAAAGUCUCGUUUAUGUCGAAGCAGCACCGGCAGGUUGUCGGGGUUCACCUGUACUGGCAUCGGGAUAUACGUCGGUAUCUUGGCUAUUACUGCCGAGUCUCCCACCGUGGCGUUCCAACAUUCUGAUAGCAGACAAUUCUGGGACUCACAAGAGAGACUAGAUGACUUGUUAAUAGUAGAAGCAUUAAAAACUAUGAAGAGAAAGGGAGCUCUAACACAGACGGGCGUUGAUGCCUGUGAUCCUCCUCCAAGAUUCGAGUUUAUGAAGCCAAAUGCUACUAAAUCCAGUUAUAAUCCUGGGGACGUAGUAUACUUUGUUUGUCGACUAGGAUACAAGCCUGUUGUACCUCCUCGUCCCAUGUCUUCCGUUUGUCAGGCUAAUAACAUGUGGACACCUCUUCAGGAGGCUUGUACAGCAAAACAAUGUCAGCAUCCAGGAGAACCCGUAAAUGGCCAGUUAGUCGCUGUGAAUGGAUCUUUUGCCUUUGGUUCGCAGAUUCACUAUUCUUGUAAUGAGGGUUAUCGGCUAGUUGGACAAAGAAUUCUAUACUGUGAAAUUUCUACUGCUGAUGAAAGAAAAGUGACUUGGAGUGAUGAUCCCCCACUAUGUAUAAGGAUAAUGUGUCCACCACCUGGAAAAAUACCAAAUGGAAAAUAUACCGGUAGUGAGAAGGAUGAAUUUGAAUAUAAUGAAGUGGUAAUUUACAGUUGUAAUCCUUCAAAUGGACCAGAUGAAUAUUCACUUGUUGGAGAGAGUAAUCUUAUUUGUACUGGCAAUGGUGUAUGGAGUAGUAACCCUCCUGAGUGUAAAGUCGUCAAAUGUCCAUUUCCAAACCCUGAAAAUGGAAGACUGUUAUCAGGAUUCAGAAAAAAAUACUACUACAAAGCAACAGUCACAUUUGAAUGCAACCCGGGUUAUUACCAUGAGGGUGAGAACACAGCAGUCUGUGGUAGUAACAGUACUUGGGAGCCUGCGAAGCCAACGUGUCUUAAAGUGCUGAUUGCUUCCAGUACCAGUCCUCCGAUUUUGAACCAUACAGUGCUGAUUCCUUCCAGUACCAGUCCUCCGAUUUUGAACCAUACAGGUUUAGUAACUUUCUGCUUAUAUUUUUCAAAAAUCAAGUCUGAUCAAGCUGAUCAAGUCUACAUUAUUUUUUUUUCCAGUGCUGAUUCCUUCCAGUACCAGUCCUCCGAUUUUGAACCAUACAGAACCCGAGUCUCCUCAUACGACUAUGCCUCCGAGUUCAACAACUACACCUCCAGGACCUCGCCCAAACCCUGGUGAUGACACAAACGAUGAUGGCCCUAAGACUUUAGGUGGAGGCAUCAUUGCGGUGAUCGUUGUUUCUGUUCUUGCUGUUGUUGUGGUAGUUGGCGGCUUCCUGUGUUAUCGACACAAGAAGAAAGGGUUGAAGUAAAACGGUUGGGGUUGCUGACAGGGAGAUCACAAGGAUGCAGAGAGAUAAAGGGAAGCAGGCUCGCCGCUGAGCAGAGAGCCCGAUGCAGGGCUCGAUCCCAGAACCCUGAGAUCAUGACCUGAGCGGAAGGCAGAGGCUUAACCCACUGAGCCACCCAGGCGUCCCUCGAAGUAGCUUCUUGCACAAAUUUCCUGUUUCAAGUUCCUAAUUGAGAAUCAGAAAAGUUGUCAUUUAUGAUUCUGUCAGCUGUGCGUCCAUUUUUCCUGUCAUUGAUUUUACACCACUUAUUAUGCUGCUCUGCUGCCUUUUGGUUUGAUGUGACUGUUUUAUUCAGCCCUUUCCCCUUCCUCUGUUCAGCACAUACCAAACUGGUGAGAGCCAUAGAGAAGUAAAAUUUAAUUCUCUAUGAGAAUUAGAGAUGAGAGAACGGUUUGCUUUUAUCAUGAAAAGGUAUUGGCUUUGUGUGUUUCUUUUCAGAGAUGUCCUUUCUAGAAUAGAAAAUAGUCAAUGAAUAUUUAGAUGUCAGUACUCUGAACAUAUGUUGGCAGUAAACAUGAAAGAGGACACUGAGAUUCCUAUGCCCUUCGCUAAAUUAUUGAUGUUUUUGUACCAUUCCUGUUUUAAAUAACAGGUCCUGGCAGGCAUUUACUUUGACAUAGGCUCCAACUGAGUAAUCUCCCCGUUGUCCUUUUAUCAGAUUGCCAGGCUUCCUUGACCUCCUAAUAGCUAUGAUUCCAAAAGUGCAGGAAUUUUUUAGCCCAGUGGGAAGAAAUAGCAUCUGUACAUUUUAAGUGCAGGGAGGAAAAUGACCCUUUCUUAGAAACCAAAAUAUAUUUUACUUAAUUUUGUAGGAAAAAAAGCAUUUUAUUUCAGAUUGUAAAUAUGGAAUUUAAAGGCAUUUACCUGUUUUCCGUGAACAGGAUAUCUGUAGUGUAUGAAAGAGAAACCAACAGAAAAAGUCCUUAGAUUUUGAAAAACUAUGAAUUGCCUUGCUUUAGACCCUCUGACUCCAUCUACCUUGUGUUGUUGAAUGAAAGGAACUGGAAGCCGUCCUCUCUCUGUGCCAGAAUGUGUGUCUCCACGGCCGGGAAGAGAGAGAGACGUUAUCCCAUCACUUAUAUUGUGAGGUGCUACCCCACCUUACAGUCAGGAGUCUGGGAGCAGACUCUACAGAGGCCAAUAGGAAAGGCAGUUUCUCGGCAAAAGCAGAGUGCUGUCUGGGGUCAGACGAGCACAGGGGAACACCCACCAUUCCAACCGGAAGUGGCAGGACGCGCCUCCCCAGUCCUGUGCACCUUGGUCUCUCAGAAUUCCUUUGAGGCUAAGGCCAACCAGGAAGGUAGAUUUCAGUCUGUUGUGAGUUUCAGGGUGUCUGCAAACAUUUGAAGGUCAUAUAAUGGAGGCUGAAGGUCAUAUAAGACAUCUGUGAUCAAUAAUCCAAGGUUAGAUGUUACCAUCUUUAAACUGCUUCAUCGUUCUAUCUAAUAAGUGUUACCUUAAAAUUUAGCUGAGUCCUUUUUAUCUCUCUCGGAUUCUGUUUAAAAUUCUGUGUGAAGAAAAGGAUUCCACCACCACACAAACAAAAGAAGUAUCGACUCCAAAAAGUAUAAAAAGAUGUCAAUCUUGGAGAAUUCACUAACUGUGCUAACUCACAAUAUAAAAGGGCUCACAGUAGUCCCCCGGAAAUUGCUCGAACACAAGUACUUUUAUGACCGUGGUGGCUCAUGGGAUAGCCUCCCCCAGAAAGAAGUACUAGGGCAUCCCAAACUGACAGGGUUGCUCUUAGGUUGGGUCAACAUCACUGAAGGGUUCGCUGUGACUUGCAGACUGGUGAACCACUGAGUCAUCCAUGGGUGGUUUUCAUCUGUCCAUUCUAGUUAUUUUACUAAGGCAGGGACUAGACUUGCGUUUUCCAGUGUAAUAGUCCAUAGUCUGUGUGGUUACUAAGGACUUUGCAGUAACUAGUCCUGUGUCAGUUGUCCUGUAAGUGUAAAAUACACACCAGACUUUAAGACCUAGUACAAAAAAUGUAAAAUAACAUGUAUGUUGGGUUAAGUAAAACACAUUAAAAAUAACAUUAAUAGCCUCUUUUACUUUUUUUAAAUAUGGCGUCCAGAACAUGUAAAGUUAGCCAGGUCACUCAUAGUAUAUUUCUUUGGACAGCACUGGGCUAGAAUAAUACAUUUUAGAAAGAUGAGUAUUGUUACCAUGAAAUUUUGAUGUUAUCCGUAAUUAUUCAGGAGAAUCUCUUAGAGAAACAUAUGAUCUCCUUGAUAGUGAGGGCUAAAUGGGGCAUUAUUGAACUUAAAGGCUGGUGGAAUCAUUACCUUUUCAAAAGUUUCAUCUCAGAGCCAGAUUUAAAAUUUCAGUAUUAGGAAAAUAAGUGUUUCUCUCCAGUCUUUUCCAGUAGCCCAUUUUAAUUGAAAUGAGAAAAUAUUUAGUAAGUACUUUGUAGCAUACCACUCUAUUGUUUUGAAAUAAAAAAAUAUAUAACAGGGAUAGAAGGGUUUCUAGAGUGAAACUAGUUAUACAUUUGAAAUUAUUUUUUAGAAAUCAUUUAUUUCCUAGUUCAUGUACUCCUACUUUUAUUUUUCUAAUUGUCAAUUUUCUAAAUAGACUUUGGAAUUGAAUUUAUGUACUUAAUUAUGUUUAUCUGUGAUACUUUUUACCUCGCCUUAUAGGGAAAGAGAACCUGGGGCCGAAUACCAUGCUUAUCAGGUUAAAUCAACUAUGCGAGCCGAUCACUAAAAGGUUUCUACACACUGGUAAAUCCUUUGAGAUCUACAGUAAAUUCACACAGCUUUAUGGAAAACAGUACAAAUGUUCCUCAAAAGAUUAAGAACAGAGAAUCAUUGGAUGAUCCAACAGUUCCACUCAUGGGUAUAUAUCCAAAGGAAACAAAAUAACUGUACAGCACUCUUUUCACUGCAGCAUUAUUUAUAAGAGCCCCAACGCAGAAACAACCACGGAGGGAGGCAUUCUAACAGAAAACAUGCUACGCAAAUAUGGCGGCAUACUAUUCAGCCAUAGAAAAGAAGGAAAUCUUGAUGUUGAGGGCAGAAUAUAUGGACCCUCCAGGCAUUUUGCUAAGUGAAGUAAAAGUGAAACAGAAGGACACAUACUGUAGGAUUUUACUUGUUGUAGAAUCUAAAAACAACAACAAAAAAAAAUGGGAAAAACUCCUAGAAACCCGAUUGGUGGUUGCUCCGCGAGGGGUGGUGAGCAGAAUUGGGUGAAGAACGUCAAAGGGGACAAACAUCCAGUUUUAAAAUUAGCAAAUACUGUGAUAGAAUUAACGUGUGGCCUGGUGACUUUCAGCAGUGCUGCUAUAUUGUAUAUUAGCAAGCUGUUAAGAGUAGAUCUUAAAAGUCCUGAUCAGGAAGACAAACAUUUUUGUAAUUGUGGUGCUAUCAGCUAAAUUCUGUGGUGAGCAUUUCACAGCAUAUCUUAUCAGUUCAGGCUGUACACACCUUCAAUGUAUACCAUGUUACAUGUCAGUUACGUCAGUAAAACCAGGAGGGGUAAAAAAGGGUUCUAUAAAAAUCAUUGUCUAGGUUUUUUUUUUUCACUCAGAUAAGUGCAGUCGUUAAGCCAUAAUGCUAGCAUUUUAAUGUGGUUUGAAUGCUUUGAUGCUGCUUUGAACAGUGUAUGAAUAUGGGAAUGAACUUCUGGCCUGUUUUCCCUUAAAUAACAUCUGCAUUUAUAGGACAACUCAACACAGUAUCCCUGGUAGUAUUUAGGUGGGAAGAUAAGUUUUUUAAAUGAAAUACCCAAAUUUAGAGAAUUGUGCAAGAUAAAUUACAUAUUAUUUGUAAAGAAAGUGAUUUUGAAAUCCUUUUUGUUCAAAGAUUGAGAAGUCUUGAUUCACUCUUUCAACAACUCUUAAGAUGUGUUUUAUGUAUUGUUCUGUGUAAACAGCCUUACAAAUAUGUGUAUUCUACUUCGGCCCUUAACAUUAAAAAUGGGAACACUGAAAAUUGGGAUUUCGAGCAAGUCUGACUUCCUUAACUAAGAAUAUUAUUGGAAAAUACUCUGAAUGGGGGAGAAUUCUAUAUAUACAUGUUUUUAACUAUUUGUAAUUUUCAUGGUGAUUUAAGGAAGUUAUAACAUGUACAGACCUGUGCUUCACUUUUUCAAGCAUCGGCAGUCUGAGACAUGCAUGAGGGAUCAGAUCCGUUGCAAACUCCUGUACAACAUCAGGGAUCCAGCGCUCACUUAGCAAGAAAGCCAGCUGGUGCCAGAGGGAACACUGUGGCCUUGCAGUUUCCUCUAAGAGGAUUCUGCUCUUUAGGAAAAUUUGAUUCCACUCUAAAUUCCGGCAGGGGGCCCUCUUCUCCCGGUACUUGAAUGCAGAGAGGUCUUACUUUAGACAAGGCUGUGUAAAAGGGGUGAGGUUUGCAGGAACGUGGCCAUCGGAGAAGCUCAGGUUCUCUCAAAAAGCAGAGUAAAGACUAAGGUGCGCGUUUCAGAGGAGACUGCCUGCUGUUGGUUGUGCAGAGGGACAGAAAGAGCCAGCAGCUGAGGUGGCAGCGGAUGCUUGGUUGGGACAGACUGUGGCCCCUGCGUCCUCACCCCAGGCAGGGUCUCCUUAAGAGAAGCCCAGAGGGGCAGAGGAGGGACGGCCACUCGAACUCACAUGACACUUGUAUGAGUUUCAUCUUGCACUUGGAUGGUUAGUAGGGCCCGUUCGGCAAAGAAGCAUUGCCCCGAGAAGGAUAAGGUUGGGAAAACAGCGCAGAGCAGCUAAGUCCUGUCUGUAGAUGAAGGAUGUCUGUGGUGCACUGUCCGUGUUCCUUCCCUCUGGGAUCCGCCAGCUGGAGCAAAAAGAAACGGGAAUUCUGAAAUCAGUGCGGAGGGGAAGCCGGACCCUCCCCAGCAGUACCCUGCCCAUUGCCGCCUACUCUUCGGGGUGGGGGGGUAGCACUGCCUCAAAGCAAGGGAUGGCUGGGCCCUUUAACGGGCCGAACUGAAUCUUUUCAACCAAAGAUUGUUAUGCUUUCAAAAAUAAAUAGACUUGUACAGUAGUUUCUGCUUCAGAUUUAAUUUUCAUUUUAGUAGAUUUAUAUGGAAAUUGUUAUAUAUGUGUAAAAAUAAAUUACGCUCUUUGUCAGGCAACUUGUCAAUCACCUAACAUAAGGGGAAAACAGAAAGUUUCUGUAAUGACAUAAAAACGUGUAUGUAAAUUUACAAGUUUGCUGAAACUGUAAGAAUGUAUUUGCAGUGAAAUGAGACGUCCCAUGUGUCGGAUCUUUAUUGCUCAUUGUUUUGAAAUCUGGAUCUUCAAAUGCUGCAAAAAAUAAAGUGUAGAUUGGAGACUU